This 473-nucleotide ribosomal RNA is filed under the name uncultured organism. RNAcentral describes it as "partial 16S ribosomal RNA". It matches the Rfam family "Bacterial small subunit ribosomal RNA", at positions 332 to 797 of the family's 1533-position model. The record is from RNAcentral.
UACACUCCUGCGGGAGGCAGCAGUGGGGAAUUUUGGACAAUGGGCGAAAGCCUGAUCCAGCCAUGCCGCGUGCAGGAUGAAGGCCUUCGGGUUGUAAACUGCUUUUGUACGGAACGAAACGGCCUUUUCUAAUAAAGAGGGCUAAUGACGGUACCGUAAGAAUAAGCACCGGCUAACUACGUGCCAGCAGCCGCGGUAAUACGUAGGGUGCAAGCGUUAAUCGGAAUUACUGGGCGUAAAGCGUGCGCAGGCGGUUAUGUAAGACAGUUGUGAAAUCCCCGGGCUCAACCUGGGAACUGCAUCUGUGACUGCAUAGCUAGAGUACGGUAGAGGGGGAUGGAAUUCCGCGUGUAGCAGUGAAAUGCGUAGAUAUGCGGAGGAACACCGAUGGCGAAGGCAAUCCCCUGGACCUGUACUGACGCUCAUGCACGAAAGCGUGGGGAGCAAACAGGAUUAGAAACCCGAGUAGUCCC